UCUUCUUACUGGGCUUGUUCUUUCUCCUGGUGUUCUUCCCUGCCUCUUGUGUGCUGUCUCUUCUGGCAGGUGUAGGGCAGGUACUUCAGGGGUGAAACCCCAUCAGGAAUUUUUUUUUUUUUAAUUCUGAGUCCCUCAGUUUCCAAUUUCAUAAAGAUCUUAAUUGAAUUCAGAUAAACGGUUUAAAAAUCACCGGUUUUCUGUGUUCCCACUGUGAGAGUCUUACAUAACUGUUGUGAAAGACUUUCUGAAAGAGGGGUAGGCAUCCUUGCAGAAUUGUAAAGAGUUGAGAGAGGUCAAGAUGAACUUAAAAGACAGGAAACGCUGUGUACAGGUAUUAUUAGAAAGUUCUAUUCGGUGCUCCCUAUGGCUGGCCUGGGAGACUCAGGGUAGAAAGCGGUAAGAUGUAGGACUGGCAGAAUUAGCUGAAGCCAGAUCAUAACGGACCCUGUUUGCCAUGCGGAGAUCAUGCAGGCAAUAGAGAUCUAAGGAUUAAGUGGGAGAGAGUCUUGGUCAUGCUCUUCUGAAAGAGCACUGGCAAUGCUGCAGCAGGGAGUUGGAGAACAGUUUGAAGCUAGAGGUAGGAAGGCCAGCCUAAUUCUGACAGUGGGGUGAGCAAGCACUGAAUGAUUUCUAAACGUAAAACUGAUGAGAAAUCUGUGGGAUCUGGUGCCUGGUUUGGAAAUGGGAAAGUAAGAAGCAAAAGGGAGCUGGAAAAAUGAAGGCUUCUGACUGAAUAUAGAUGAUGCGAUUAAACUGAAGUUGAUCCUACCUGGAGAGGAACCAAUUUGGAGAGUCGGCAGGUGGGAACAUUGAUGUUACAUAAGACAUGUCAGUGGAGCAUAGAGUCAGAAGUGCCUGAUGUUCAGCAGAAAUCCAGGCUAGAGAUAAGGGUUUUGAAUCAUGUCCUCAGCAUGUGAAUGUUAGUUAAAGCCGUGACAAUGGAGUUCCCAUCGUGGCACAGUGGUUAACGAAUCUGACUAGGAACCAUGAGGUUGCGGGUUCAGUCCCUGGCCUUGCUCAGUGGGUUAAGGAUCUGGCAUUGCCGUGAGUUGUGGUGUAGGUCGCAGACGAGCUGUGUUACUGUGGCUCUGGCGUAGGCUGGUCAUGCAGCUCUGAUUCGACCCCUAGCCUGGGAACCUCCAUAUGCUGAGGGAGCGGCCCUAGAAAAG
Molecule: long non-coding RNA, 1172 nt
Filed under: Sus scrofa (pig)
Lineage: Eukaryota; Metazoa; Chordata; Mammalia; Artiodactyla; Suidae
Description: lncRNA (ENSSSCG00060074852.1)
Source: RNAcentral